UUUUGGUAUAAAAAUAAAAAUAAAUAAAAAUAGUGUGAGGAACUAUUUUUAUUGGAUUUGUAGAAGUAAAACAUAAGUCAGAAGUGACUUGUGCUGAAAUCGGAAUGAAAACAGAAGAUUUAGAAUUUUCUGUUGGAAACGGGACAGAUAAAUUAGCAGAAAAUGCACAGUCUCAGAAAAUUAUGAAAAUUGGCGGGGAUGUCAGUAAUAUUUUAAUGAGGCUAGAUUUAAAGUUUCAUAUUUUUCUGACAUCCGUAGAGUGAGAAAUAAAAUCCGAAGGCUAUCUGAUAAAGAUUGCAGUUCGGCACAAUUUUCGGUGACCAAACGGGGUCGAAACCGAAAACUUAAGAUAUAUUCUUGUUCAGUACGUUAAAUCGAACAUAACUGUCAAAUUUGAGUUAAAACGGACAUCCAGAAGGGCUCCGACGAAAAAUAAACUGCCCGAAGUGAAUAGUGCAUAGUUGAGGGGCAAAAUGGUAAAAAGGGAUUAAAUCCCUUUUCCUCCUUCCUUCUUCAACC
RNAcentral lists this long non-coding RNA (519 nucleotides) under Ananas comosus (pineapple). RNAcentral describes it as "long non-coding RNA (ACOM_LNC028325)". Lineage: Eukaryota; Viridiplantae; Streptophyta; Magnoliopsida; Poales; Bromeliaceae. The record is from RNAcentral.